This 496-nucleotide ribosomal RNA is filed under the name uncultured bacterium. RNAcentral's name for it is "bacterial SSU rRNA". It matches the Rfam family "Bacterial small subunit ribosomal RNA", at positions 28 to 517 of the family's 1533-position model. The record is from RNAcentral.
GAUGAACGCUAGCGGCAGGCUUAAUACAUGCAAGUCGUGGGGCAGCAUGAGUAGCAAUACUUGAUGGCGACCGGCAAACGGGUGAGGAACACGUACACAACCUUCCUUCAAGCGGGGAAUAGCCCAGAGAAAUUUGGAUUAAUACCCCAUAAUAUAUUUGAUAAGGCAUCUUAUUAAUAUUAAAAGCUUCGGCACUUGAUGAUGGGUGUGCGGCUGAUUAGAUAGUUGGCGGGUAACGGCCCACCAAGUCUACGAUCAGUAGCUGAUGUGAGAGCAUGAUCAGCCACACGGGCACUGAGACACGGGCCCGACUCCUACGGGAGGCAGCAGUAAGGAAUAUUGGACAAUGGACGAAAGUCUGAUCCAGCCAUGCCGCGUGAAGGAUUAAGGUCCUCUGGAUUGUAAACUUCUUUUAUAUUGGGACGAAAAAAGGGCAUUCUUGUUCACUUGACGGUACCAUAUGAAUAAGCACCGGCUAACUCCGUGCCAGCAGCCG